RNAcentral lists this ribosomal RNA (414 nucleotides) under uncultured prokaryote. RNAcentral describes it as "bacterial SSU rRNA". It matches the Rfam family "Bacterial small subunit ribosomal RNA", at positions 505 to 918 of the family's 1533-position model. The record is from RNAcentral.
GUGUCAGCCGCCGCGGUAAUACGGAGGGGGCUAGCGUUGUUCGGAAUUACUGGGCGUAAAGCGCGCGUAGGCGGACGGUCAAGUUGGGGGUGAAAGCCCGAGGCUCAACCUCGGAAUUGCCUUCAAAACUGAUCGUCUCGAGGCCGGGAGAGGGCAGUGGAAUUCCCAGUGUAGAGGUGCAAUUCGUAGAUAUUGGGAAGAACACCGGUGGCGAAGGCGGCUGCCUGGCCCGGACCUGACGCUGAGGUGCGAAAGCGUGGGGAGCGAACAGGAUUAGAUAACCUGGUAGUCCACGCCGUAAACGAUGGGUGCUAGGUGUCGGAGGACUUAGUUCUUCGGUGCCGCAGCUAACGCGUUAAGCACCCCGCCUGGGGAGUACGGCCGCAAGGCUAAAACUUAAAUGAAUUGACGGGG